Molecule: long non-coding RNA, 910 nt
Organism: Hibiscus syriacus
Lineage: Eukaryota; Viridiplantae; Streptophyta; Magnoliopsida; Malvales; Malvaceae
Exons: 3
Source: RefSeq, a predicted model, not a curated record
UUCAAGAGAGAUGGAACUGAAAGGGCAGUAAGAGCAGACUUGAAAGGAAACAGCAGACAAGUUUGCAGAUUAUUCUUGACCCCAAUGGUAUAAGUAGAGACUCGGGCUUUGUUGCCUUUUCAACAGCUGAAGAAGGAUCUCGAGAUAUGGAUAGUAAAAUUGUAAAUUAGCCAACCACUUUAUGCUGCCGUUGCUCAAAGGAAAGAAGAAAGGAAAGCCAGGUUGCAGCUAUUCGUAUAUGUAGCUUCUUUCUUAUUCUAUUGAGUUGAGGUGACAUGCACGUGUAUAGUUUUUCUUUUCUUUUUUCCUAAUGGACCUGGAGUUAAAAUCAGCAUGAAUGUAUAUAAUACUAUUAAUUUUUGUUGUAUACGGACGGGAACAGUUUUCUCGUAUGCAUAUGGGACCUGUUGUAUGCCUAUGUAUCCUCCUGGCGCACCUCGUUUUGGAAAGCAAAUAUUCCUGUAAUGAUGUCAAACUUUUUGAUGCCAAUGCUUCAUCCCGGGCAGCAGAAUCUACGCCAAGGAGGUAGCCCGAUGCUACAAACACUUCCCUUCAUGCGGCCACAGCGAACAGGAGGUCAACCGUCAGGAAUAGCGAACAUGCAAAACCACCGGAACAACAGAAAAACAUAUCACAAUUAACGCUCAAUCAGCAGGAGAAAAGUAAAGAUGCCGAAAGAAUGUUUGGGCCGUCCCUCUCUCUGGAUUUUUGUAGCCCACGCUAAGCCGAGGCAACUGACAAUCUUUCUCAGUCUGUUAAGCCUAACAGGCUGUUAUAACAAACUAACCAACUGGCUUCAAUGAACAAGCCUAACCAUCAAUGGUUGUGUUAUUCUCAUUAUUAGAACUAAUAUCCGACUUCCACUGCUGUAAUCUCUUAUAAUAAUUUAGUUAUAAUAUAAAACAUAUUA